AUACGUAGGUGACAAGCGUUAUCCGGAUUUACUGGGCGUAAAGGGCGUGUAGGCGGUCUUGCAAGUCAGAAGUGAAAUUCCUGAGCUCAACUCGGGCGCUGCUUCUGAAACUGCAGGACUUGAGUGCUGGAGGGGAUAGCGGAAUUCCUAGUGGAGCGGUAAAAUGCGCAGAUAUUAGGAAGAACACCGGUGGCGAAGGCGGCUAUCUGGACAGUAACUGACGUUGAGGCGCGAAAGCGUGGGGAGCAAACAGGAUUAGAUACCCUGGUAGUCCACGCCGUAAACGAUGAGUACUAGGUGUAGGGGGUAUCGACUCCCUCUGUGCCGCAGUUAACACAAUAAGUAUUCCGCCUGGGGAGUACGGCCGCAAGGUUGAAACUCAAAUGAAUUGACGGGG
Molecule: ribosomal RNA, 397 nt
Filed under: uncultured bacterium
Lineage: Bacteria
Description: partial 16S ribosomal RNA
Rfam family: Bacterial small subunit ribosomal RNA
Source: RNAcentral